CAACAUUGGCCGCCGGGUCAAUGAAGAGAAGCGCUUCGCCGCGUAUCGUCAGGCCAUAGAAGAUACGCGGGCGGGCGCUUUUUUGUC
RNAcentral lists this non-coding RNA (87 nucleotides) under unclassified sequences. The record is from RNAcentral.